GAGCACCUGCUGUCGGGCUAGCAGAAGGUGGAAGCCAGCACCAUCUUAAGGCCCGUUUUCUGUCCUCAUCGUGCUGUUUUCUCCCUUCCUGAUAAUACGAAAUGGGAUUUGCCAUAUACUUCUCUCUUAAAGGAUGCCCCUUCGAAGUAGAUGUUGCUUGUUGCAGACAGCAGUGAUGAAGAAACAAGUGAUCUCAUGCAAGUGAGGCAGACGCUGGCUGAAGGACAAAGACAAUGGCCGGCACAACAUGGGAUGUGUGAUGAAUUGUAAUGGACAACAGACUUCCUCUUCAAUACAGUUUUCAACAAAAUCAAUUCUUUUUGGAGCAAUGAGUGAAAUGAUGACACUUUGAAAUCCAUGGCUUGCCAAGUACUGUCAAGUGUAUUAUUACCGCAAGCCUAAUAUCUGAGCAUAUUCACCCCCAGGCAUCAACUAAUCUUUGCUUAAAUGUACCAUAGUCAAUUCUGGCUAUGCAAAACGGAAUGAAGAGACACAGGAAAUGGUCUCAGUAAAUUAAACUGAAUUGUCAUCCACACUUAGCCUCUGCCAUGGCAUCAUGAUUCAUAUUGUCAUGGCAACAAAUAUUUUAAAAAGAUCAAGCAUCAAACAGAUAUCCCUCUUUAUUUUGAUUAACCAAAUGACACUGUAGAAAAGAAAAGUGUGGAAUUUGAUACAAUUUUAAUUCCCACACUGGGUUUUUAUACUUUAUAUUCUUAGAGAUUUUUAUUUUUAUGAAGUAAAUAUCAGGAACUUCUACCAACAGUAAAACUCUUUAUUUUUAGGAAAUAUUGUAAUAGAAAAAAAACUGCUUAGAUUUAAAGAAACAAAAGUAAUCUUACCAAUUUCUCUGACCUCAGAAAAUUCACUACCUAUUAUGAACAACUUAAUUUUAGGUCAGAUAAUUAUAAUACAAUGCAUCCUCUAUAAUUUAUACACAAAUUUCUAAGAAAGCAGAUUAGGUCAUGUUGUUUAUCUUAUCUGCAAAGUUAGAGAGGCUCAAAUAAGACACAGACUUUUUAAACUAUUACUUUUCUAUGCACCUUAUAAUGAAUUUGAUAUCUGAUUUUACACUAUUUCAU
Long non-coding RNA from Mesocricetus auratus (golden hamster), 1079 nucleotides. RefSeq lists it as uncharacterized. NCBI's taxonomy places the organism in Eukaryota, Metazoa, Chordata, Mammalia, Rodentia, Cricetidae. The transcript is spliced from 3 exons. The record is from RefSeq and is a predicted model, not a curated record.